UUUUUCAAUCUCCUUCCAUCUUAUUGAGGCAGCGUCUCUCAUGGUGCCUGGAGCUUGCCAAUGCCGGCUCGUCUAGCCAGCCAGAUUGCCUGGUGUGCUGUGUGCCUCCUGAGGACUGGGUUACACGUAGCCAACGUCCUUCUUCUGUGGGUCCAUAUUCUUCACCCUGGCAGGCAAACACUGCAGCGAUCUGCCAAGCCCACAGAGGAGACUUUUCCAAACAGCCUGAGGGUGAAUGGUGGAUAAAGUCUGCUUAGCGAGUGUGGUCUGGCUGGGUUCUCCAGAAUCUAUGAGAUAAUCGAUGAGUUCUAAGAAAGCCUGAGGUGGCAUUAAGCCAUCGUGGGGGAGAGCCUAACAAAAACGGUAAACUGAUCUGUUAUCAUUUCCUUGUUUGAUGAAAGCCCACUAAAGAGCAGCUUCAGGGAGGAAGGGUUUGCACCUCAAGGUUUGAGGAUGCAGUUCCUGGUGGGUGAGGCCUGGUGCCCGGAUCUGAGGGAGGCUGGUUACAUUCUGUCCACAGUCAGGAAACAACGGGAGAUGACUGCUUGUGCUGAGCUCACAUUCUCCUUUCUGUUCAGAACUGGAGCCCAGCCAAUCUGGGAACAUCCAGAAGUGGGUUUUCGUGUCACUGUAAAUCCAGGCAAGCUGGUGGUGAAGAUUAGUUACCCAAGAUGGAAGGCCACGGGAAACACGUCAGCAGAAAGCCAAGAUUCCCCUCAACACUACUGGGUUCCAAGAGCCAAGCACCCCAGGGUCAGGACCAGCGAGGAGCCGUUCCACUUCGGCCCUCAUGUCUGCCUCGGGAGGAGUACGGCACCAGUCUGUCUCACUCUUCGCCAGGUGCUGUAGACUUGCACCACAGCCAGUGCAAGGAGGGGGAAGGACAGAGCCUGUGGCCUCACUGAGGAUGAGACGAUGAGGAUGAGACGAUGAGUGAGCGAGCUCCACCCAGCCCCUCCCGCGUGGGGCCAGCACGGAUACCACUGCCUUCCAAAGGGUUUUAACCGCAGUUGAUUGAAUCCCAGAUGCACAAAACUAAUACAAAGCAUCCGCUGUUUGUCAUUUAACUUCUAAAUGUUGGGACCUUUACAAAAUGCCUUAGAUUUUGUAUUUUACUCAAGAAGCUUACUUGGUAUGCACUCAGUGUACUCUAGUUUAUUGAGACAUUUUAUGGUCUAGCAGAUGGUCCUUAACGGUGAGUACUCCAUGUGCCCUUGACUCUUUGGCUGGUUGUCGUGUUGUAUGAAUGUCAACUAUGUCAGGAUGGGUUGAUUGGGCCAUUCAUUUUCUCUAUAUCCUUAGUGGCUUGGGCAAGGCCUACUUGUAAGAGGAUAUUACCUUUAAUUAAAAUUCUAAACCCUUCAUUUCUCUUUAAGCAUUUGUUUCUCAGUAUAAUUUGAAGCUGUAAUUUUGACACACAGUUGUAAAAUCUUUCCGAUGGAUCAGCCCUUUUAUUAUUGUGGAGACAUUGUUCUUUUACUUUGACAAUGGUGUUUGUCUAAAAGUUUCUUUUAGUCUGAUGUUAGGCUAUCAAUUCCACUUGUCACUUGUUUGCGGUUUGCAUAACCCAUCUUUCCUGGUCUUUCGGUCUAAAGCAGUGAUUCUCAGCCUGUGGGCCUCAACCCAUUUGGGCUCCAAUGGCCCUUUCACAGGGGUCAUCUAAGACCAUCUGCAUAUCAUAUAUUAAACCUACAAUUCACAACAGUAGUAGAAUUACAUUAUGAAGUACAACAAAAAUAAUAUUAUGGUUGGGGUCACCACAACAUGAGGAACUGUAUUAAAUGCUGUUUAACUGUAUUAAACAGCAUUGGGAACCUGUUAAUGCCUUUAUAUUUUAAAUGCCUUGAUCCUUGAUUCACAUUUUGGUAUGCUAUGUAAUAGAUAAACCACUCCAAAUCUUAGAGCCUGAAAACAACCAUCAAUCUCUUUUUUUUUAGAAAUUUAUUUAAUCUUAUUUUAUGUGCAUUAGUGUGAAGAUGUCAGAUCCCUUGGAAUUGGGGUUGCAGACAGUUGUGAGCUGCCAUGUGGGUGCUAGGAAAUGAAGCUGGGUCCUUUGGAAGAGCAGACAGUGCUCCUAAGGACCUCUCUCUCUAGCCUCAACCAUCAAGCUCCUGAGAUUCCUCUUGCUGUUUGUUGUUUGUUUGGUUUGUUUUCUUUUGAGACAAGGUCUCUCUACCUUGCCCUGGCUGUCCUGGGACGGGUCUCUAACUCACAGAGGCCUCUGCCUCUCAAGCGCUGGGGUUAAAAGCGUGUGCCACCGAGUCCAGCCAUCCCUUAAGACUCUUUGGUCAAAAAUGUUGGCAGGGCUUGGAUUAGCGUUUUUGGUCCUUUAUCGUGGGUCAUUGGUGUGGCUGUGGCACAGAUGGAAGGCCCAGCCAGGCCUUGGGCAGCUCACUGGUGCCUCAGUCUUUCCCAUGUGGUCCAGGCUUGCUAAUCAGAUGGCAUCCUGAUUCCUCAGCUGACCGGAAGCUUCUCAGAGCCAUUGGAACUCACACGGUUGUUCUGAGUUCGUGUGUCCUGCUUUCUUCUUUGUUAAUAGACACCCGCAUGGCAAGUGAUCUUUCAGCAUGGUGUUUCCAGGGAGGCUGCAACUCCUGUCAGAGGAUAAGGGAGGCUCCUUCUGACAGAGGCCAGCAAUGCAGGUCCUGCCAUGAGAACUCAGCAUGGAAGAUGGUGUUUUCUCCAUUUCUCUACCCGGAAAAAUUGCAAAUCUGGCUUAAAAGGAAACCACUCUUUGAAAUGCACGAAGCAACGCUUGAUGGGAUUUUUUACUUUCUUUUUUAAUUUUUAAAGAAUGGUCUGUUUUAUUUUGUAUGUGUGAGCAUUUUGCUCGCCUGCCUGUCUGGGCACUGUGGGCAUGCAGUGCCCGAGGGGGUCAGAGGAGGGUGUGGGCUCCUCUGGAACUGGGCUGCAGAUGGUUGUGAGCCGCCAUGCUGGGUCCUCCGCCAGAACAAUAAGUGCCCUUCUCAGCUGGGGCAGCUCUCCAGCUCUGUUCCAUGAUUGUUGUUGUUGUUGUUUGUUUGUUUGUUUGUUUUUUAAGGAAAUUUUGAAAAUAAAAACGAAAUGGUAGU
This is a long non-coding RNA of Meriones unguiculatus (Mongolian gerbil), 3071 nucleotides long. RefSeq lists it as uncharacterized. Lineage: Eukaryota; Metazoa; Chordata; Mammalia; Rodentia; Muridae. The record is from RefSeq and is a predicted model, not a curated record. The transcript is spliced from 4 exons.